RNAcentral lists this ribosomal RNA (225 nucleotides) under Polybia velutina. RNAcentral's name for it is "partial small subunit ribosomal RNA". The record is from RNAcentral. Lineage: Eukaryota; Metazoa; Arthropoda; Insecta; Hymenoptera; Vespidae. RNAcentral also lists the same sequence under 1 other name.
UUAUAUCAUUAAAUUAAGAAGAUUUGGCGGUAUUUUAAAUAAUUAGAGGAACCUGUGUAGUAAUUGAUAAUCCACGAUAAGAAAAACUUAAAAAUUUAUGUAUUGCUGUUAUUAGAUUAUUAUAAAUUAAAUUUUUAAGUUUUUAUUUUAAAAUAAUUCAAGUCAAAAUAUAGUUUAAUUAAGACAUGGGUUACAAUUAAAUUUUGAAAAAGGAUUUAAUAGUAA